Molecule: ribosomal RNA, 253 nt
Filed under: uncultured bacterium
Lineage: Bacteria
Description: partial 16S ribosomal RNA
Rfam family: Bacterial small subunit ribosomal RNA
Source: RNAcentral
UACAGAGGGUGCGAGCGUUGUUCGGAAUUAUUGGGCGUAAAGCGCUUGUAGGCGGCCUGUCAAGUCGCGUGUGAAAUCCCCUGGCUUAACCAGGGAAGUGCGCGCGAAACUGAAGGGCUUGAGUGCCGGAGAGGGUCGCGGAAUUCCCGGUGUAGAGGUGAAAUUCGUAGAUAUUGGGAAGAACACCGGUGGCGAAGGCGGCGACCUGGUCCGAUACUGACGCUGAGGCGCGAAAGCGUGGGGAGCGAACAGG